This 212-nucleotide ribosomal RNA is filed under the name uncultured bacterium. RNAcentral's name for it is "partial 16S ribosomal RNA". It matches the Rfam family "Bacterial small subunit ribosomal RNA", at positions 524 to 733 of the family's 1533-position model. The record is from RNAcentral.
UACGUAGGGGGCGAGCGUUGUCCGGAUUUAUUGGGCGUAAAGAGCGUGUAGGCGGCCAGGUAGGUCAGCUGUGAAAACUCGAGGCUCAACCUCGAGAUGUCGGCUGAAACCAUCUGGCUAGAGUCCGGAAAGAGGAGAAUGGAAUUCCCGGUGUAGCGGGUGAAAUGCGCAGAUAUCGGGAAGAACACCCGUGGCGAAGGCGGUUCUCUGGG